Long non-coding RNA from Candoia aspera, 859 nucleotides. RefSeq lists it as uncharacterized. The record is from RefSeq and is a predicted model, not a curated record. Lineage: Eukaryota; Metazoa; Chordata; Lepidosauria; Squamata; Candoiidae. The transcript has 2 exons.
CUGAGGUAAGGCAGAGCUCCCUUCCCAAGUCAUGGGAGAUGUUUCCAUUUCUUUCCCUCCUUUCUCAGGGCUUCUUUUGAAGUUUUUCCACUGAAUCCCUACAAGAAGAGAGAGGAAAAUUACUUGUAGCCGCUAAGUGGUAUUUUAGCCGUGCAGAUGAGUGAUCCUGAUUUUGCUGAGUUCAGAAGACCCCAAAGAAUUCAAGGCUUGUUCAUUUCAGGAACCCAGUUCAGAGAUCAGGUUAUCAUCAUUUUUUUUCCUAGUAGGUCACUCUGCAUAUGAUCCCUUUGCAGAAGGACACUCAACAAGCAGGACCAGGGUGGGGUGGGGAGGAAGCAAGAGGCUCUUUUGGGCUGAGCCUCAAGCUCGGAGUGGCUUCAAAUUUAAAGGUCUGCAAAGUUGUUGAACUUUAAACUGUUCAAAUUAUGUUUACUUCUCUCCCCCUUCCUCUCUCUUGCUCUUUUUUGGUGCCGUAUUUUUGUGCACACCUGUUAUGACGUCCCAUUUUAUUAUGGGCAGGAGCUGCCAAUGCUUCUUUCCCUCAGGAUUUAUUUUGUAAGUUUGCCAUUUUUGGGGCAUUGCCAAUUGUAGAGCGAUAUCUUCUUGGACAUGGAUGGUGUCAGUGCAUUUAUAGAAAGAUCCAUCCUGCAGUCGGGACUUUUCUCUUAGGAGAUACAGAUCAGGAAGACCUGCUCAGGCCCGCCAGUAUCUUGCGCUCAUCCCGUUCUUGAAUUUCUCCCCAUGUUUAGUGGUUGGUUCUGCAGGGUUAACCGAACGUAUAUCAAUUCUAUUCAAAUUGUACUCUGCAGUCUAUGCUGUGUUCCCUUCUUGUGAGUAAACUAACAAAAAGCUUCUUAAA